This 67-nucleotide transfer RNA is filed under the name human gut metagenome. It matches the Rfam family "tRNA". From Rfam's summary of the family: Transfer RNA (tRNA) molecules are approximately 80 nucleotides in length. Their secondary structure includes four short double-helical elements and three loops (D, anti-codon, and T loops). RNAcentral also lists the same sequence under 1 other name. The record is from RNAcentral.
AACGUGGCUCAGUUGGUAGAGCAGAUGAUUCGUAAUCAUCAGGUCGCGGGUUCGAGUCCCGCCGUUA